UCAACUUUUGUUGCUGGAUGUGGACUUGGACUCUGUCGUGUYAYAACGACUGGUCUGAAAUGCCUGAGUGCACCCUGCUGUUGCAGCGUCUUCAGUGUGAUAAGCAUCUUCACUGAUUCAAGUUCCUUYGGGACACGUAGCAUUGUGGGCUCUGUGCUGACGAACCGUCUUUGGACAAUCUUUGACAAUUUGACCUCAAAUCGGGUGGGACUACCCGCUGAACUUAAGCAUAUCAAUAAGCGGAGGAAAAGAAACUAACAAGGAUUCCCCUAGUAACGGCGAGUGAAGAGGGAAAAGCUCAAAUUUUGAAUCUGGUGUCUUUGGCGCCCGAGUUGUAAUCUAGAGAAGUGUUUUCUGCCUCGGACCACACAUAAAUUCCCUGGAAUGGGGUGUCAUAGAGGGUGAGAAUCCYGUUUGUGGUGUGGACUACCUUGGCUCUGUGAUACACUCUCAACGAGUCGAGUUGUUUGGGAAUGCAGCUCAAAAUGGGUGGUAAAUUCCAUCUAAAGCUAAAUAUUGGCGAGAGACCGAUAGCGAACAAGUACCGUGAGGGAAAGAUGAAAAGCACUUUGGAAAGAGAGUGAAACAGUACGUGAAAUUGUUGAAAGGGAAGCGUUUGAAGUCAGUCACAUCGGUCGGAAUUCAGCCUGGCUUUGCCUGGUGUACUUUUUGGCAGAUGGGUCAGCGUCAAUUUUGACUGAGGGAAAAAGACUUGAGGAAUGUGGCUGUCUUCGGGCAGUGUUAUAGCCUCUUGUUGUAUGUCUCAGUUGGGAUUGAGGACCGCAGCACGCCUUAUGGCCGGGGUUCGCGCCCUCGGAACGUGCUUAGGACGCUGGCAUAAUGGCUUUAAGCGAC
Molecule: ribosomal RNA, 855 nt
Filed under: uncultured Sebacinales
Lineage: Eukaryota; Fungi; Basidiomycota; Agaricomycetes; Sebacinales
Description: eukaryotic LSU rRNA
Source: RNAcentral